AAGUAGCACUACUUAUUGAUGUGCGACCGGCGCACGGGUGAGUAACGCGUAUGCAACUUACCUAUCAGAGGGGGAUAGCCCGGCGAAAGUCGGAUUAAUACUCCAUAAAACAGGGGUUCCGCAUGGGACUAUUUGUUAAAGAUUCAUCGCUGAUAGAUAGGCAUGCGUUCCAUUAGGCAGUUGGCGGGGUAACGGCCCACCAAACCGACGAUGGAUAGGGGUUCUGAGAGGAAGGUCCCCCACAUUGGUACUGAGACACGGACCAAACUCCUACGGGAGGCAGCAGUGAGGAAUAUUGGUCAAUGGCCGAGAGGCUGAACCAGCCAAGUCGCGUGAAGGAUGAAGGAUCUAUGGUUUGUAAACUUCUUUUAUAGGGGAAUAAAGUGUGGGACGUGUCCCAUUUUGUAUGUACCCUAUGAAUAAGCAUCGGCUAACUCCGUGCCAGCAGCCGCGGUAAUACGGAGGAUGCGAGCGUUAUCCGGAUUUAUUGGGUUUAAAGGGUGCGUAGGUGGUAAUUUAAGUCAGCGGUGAAAGUUUGUGGCUCAACCAUAAAAUUGCCGUUGAAACUGGGUUACUUGAGUGUGUUUGAGGUAGGCGGAAUGCGUGGUGUAGCGGUGAAAUGCAUAGAUAUCACGCAGAACUCCAAUUGCGAAGGCAGCUUACUAAACCAUAACUGACACUGAAGCACGAAAGCGUGGGUAUCAAACAGGAUUAGAUACCCUGGUAGUCCA
RNAcentral lists this ribosomal RNA (731 nucleotides) under uncultured Porphyromonadaceae bacterium. Its description in RNAcentral is "bacterial SSU rRNA". It matches the Rfam family "Bacterial small subunit ribosomal RNA", at positions 74 to 797 of the family's 1533-position model. The record is from RNAcentral. Lineage: Bacteria; Pseudomonadati; Bacteroidota; Bacteroidia; Bacteroidales; Porphyromonadaceae.